RNAcentral lists this ribosomal RNA (220 nucleotides) under uncultured bacterium. Its description in RNAcentral is "partial 16S ribosomal RNA". It matches the Rfam family "Bacterial small subunit ribosomal RNA", at positions 111 to 334 of the family's 1533-position model. The record is from RNAcentral.
UAAUGUCUGGGAAACUGCCUGAUGGAGGGGGAUAACUACUGGAAACGGUAGCUAAUGCCGCAUAACGUCGCAAGACCAAAGUGGGGGACCUUCGGGCCUCAUGCCAUCAGAUGUGCCCAGAUGGGAUUAGCUAGUAGGUGGGGUAACGGCUCACCUAGGCGACGAUCCCUAGCUGGUCUGAGAGGAUGACCAGCCACACUGGAACUGAGACACGGUCCAG